ACAUCUAAGUACCCCGAGGAAAAGAAAUCAACCGAGAUUCCCCCAGUAGCGGCGAGCGAACGGGGAGCAGCCCAGAGUCUGAAUCAGCUUGUGUGUUAGUGGAAGCGUCUGGAAAGUCGCACGGUACAGGGUGAUAGUCCCGUACACGAAAGCACACAGGCUGUGAACUCGAAGAGUAGGGCGGGACACGUGGUAUCCUGUCUGAAUAUGGGGGGACCAUCCUCCAAGGCUAAAUACUCCUGACUGACCGAUAGUGAACCAGUACCGUGAGGGAAAGGCGAAAAGAAC
Molecule: ribosomal RNA, 288 nt
Filed under: Enterobacter cloacae
Lineage: Bacteria; Pseudomonadati; Pseudomonadota; Gammaproteobacteria; Enterobacterales; Enterobacteriaceae
Description: partial 23S ribosomal RNA
Rfam family: Bacterial large subunit ribosomal RNA
Source: RNAcentral